CAGAGAAUAGUUUAGUUUGAGAAUAUCAGCUUUGGGAGUUGAUGGUGAAGGUUCGAGUCCUUUUUCUCUGA
This 71-nucleotide transfer RNA is filed under the name Indicator xanthonotus. Its description in RNAcentral is "tRNA-Pro". It matches the Rfam family "tRNA". From Rfam's summary of the family: Transfer RNA (tRNA) molecules are approximately 80 nucleotides in length. Their secondary structure includes four short double-helical elements and three loops (D, anti-codon, and T loops). Further hydrogen bonds mediate the characteristic L-shaped molecular structure. tRNAs have two regions of fundamental functional importance: the anti-codon, which is responsible for specific mRNA codon recognition, and the 3' end, to which the tRNAs corresponding amino acid is attached (by aminoacyl-tRNA synthetases). tRNAs cope with the degeneracy of the genetic code in two manners: having more than one tRNA (with a specific anti-codon) for a particular amino acid; and 'wobble' base-pairing, i.e. permitting non-standard base-pairing at the 3rd anti-codon position. Lineage: Eukaryota; Metazoa; Chordata; Aves; Piciformes; Indicatoridae. The record is from RNAcentral.